UUAAGCGACUAAGCGUACACGGUGGAUGCCCUGGCAGUCAGAGGCGAUGAAGGACGUGCUAAUCUGCGAUAAGCGUCGGUAAGGUGAUAUGAACCGUUAUAACCGGCGAUUUCCGAAUGGGGAAACCCAGUGUGAUUCGUCACACUAUCAUUAACUGAAUCCAUAGGUUAAUGAGGCGAACCGGGGGAACUGAAACAUCUAAGUACCCCGAGGAAAAGAAAUCAACCGAGAUUCCCCCAGUAGCGGCGAGCGAACGGGGAGGAGCCCAGAGCCUGAAUCAGUGUGUGUGUUAGUGGAAGCGUCUGGAAAGGCGCGCGAUACAGGGUGACAGCCCCGUACACAAAAAUGCACAUGCUGUGAGCUCGAUGAGUAGGGCGGGACACGUGGUAUCCUGUCUGAAUAUGGGGGGACCAUCCUCCAAGGCUAAAUACUCCUGACUGACCGAUAGUGAACCAGUACCGUGAGGGAAAGGCGAAAAGAACCCCGGCGAGGGGAGUGAAAAAGAACCUGAAACCGUGUACGUACAAGCAGUGGGAGCCUCUUUAUGGGGUGACUGCGUACCUUUUGUAUAAUGGGUCAGCGACUUAUAUUCUGUAGCAAGGUUAACCGAAUAGGGGAGCCGAAGGGAAACCGAGUCUUAACUGGGCGUUAAGUUGCAGGGUAUAGACCCGAAACCCGGUGAUCUAGCCAUGGGCAGGUUGAAGGUUGGGUAACACUAACUGGAGGACCGAACCGACUAAUGUUGAAAAAUUAGCGGAUGACUUGUGGCUGGGGGUGAAAGGCCAAUCAAACCGGGAGAUAGCUGGUUCUCCCCGAAAGCUAUUUAGGUAGCGCCUCGUGAAUUCAUCUCCGGGGGUAGAGCACUGUUUCGGCAAGGGGGUCAUCCCGACUUACCAACCCGAUGCAAACUGCGAAUACCGGAGAAUGUUAUCACGGGAGACACACGGCGGGUGCUAACGUCCGUCGUGAAGAGGGAAACAACCCAGACCGCCAGCUAAGGUCCCAAAGUCAUGGUUAAGUGGGAAACGAUGUGGGAAGGCCCAGACAGCCAGGAUGUUGGCUUAGAAGCAGCCAUCAUUUAAAGAAAGCGUAAUAGCUCACUGGUCGAGUCGGCCUGCGCGGAAGAUGUAACGGGGCUAAACCAUGCACCGAAGCUGCGGCAGCGACGCUUAUGCGUUGUUGGGUAGGGGAGCGUUCUGUAAGCCUGCGAAGGUGUACUGUGAGGUAUGCUGGAGGUAUCAGAAGUGCGAAUGCUGACAUAAGUAACGAUAAAGCGGGUGAAAAGCCCGCUCGCCGGAAGACCAAGGGUUCCUGUCCAACGUUAAUCGGGGCAGGGUGAGUCGACCCCUAAGGCGAGGCCGAAAGGCGUAGUCGAUGGGAAACAGGUUAAUAUUCCUGUACUUGGUGUUACUGCGAAGGGGGGACGGAGAAGGCUAUGUUGGCCGGGCGACGGUUGUCCCGGUUUAAGCGUGUAGGCUGGUUUUCCAGGCAAAUCCGGAAAAUCAAGGCUGAGGCGUGAUGACGAGGCACUACGGUGCUGAAGCAACAAAUGCCCUGCUUCCAGGAAAAGCCUCUAAGCAUCAGGUAACAUCAAAUCGUACCCCAAACCGACACAGGUGGUCAGGUAGAGAAUACCAAGGCGCUUGAGAGAACUCGGGUGAAGGAACUAGGCAAAAUGGUGCCGUAACUUCGGGAGAAGGCACGCUGAUACGUAGGUGAAGUCCCUUGCGGAUGGAGCUGAAAUCAGUCGAAGAUACCAGCUGGCUGCAACUGUUUAUUAAAAACACAGCACUGUGCAAACACGAAAGUGGACGUAUACGGUGUGACGCCUGCCCGGUGCCGGAAGGUUAAUUGAUGGGGUUAGCGGUAACGCGAAGCUCUUGAUCGAAGCCCCGGUAAACGGCGGCCGUAACUAUAACGGUCCUAAGGUAGCGAAAUUCCUUGUCGGGUAAGUUCCGACCUGCACGAAUGGCGUAAUGAUGGCCAGGCUGUCUCCACCCGAGACUCAGUGAAAUUGAACUCGCUGUGAAGAUGCAGUGUACCCGCGGCAAGACGGAAAGACCCCGUGAACCUUUACUAUAGCUUGACACUGAACAUUGAGCCUUGAUGUGUAGGAUAGGUGGGAGGCUUUGAAGUGUGGACGCCAGUCUGCAUGGAGCCGACCUUGAAAUACCACCCUUUAAUGUUUGAUGUUCUAACGUUGGCCCCUAAUCGGGGUUGCGGACAGUGUCUGGUGGGUAGUUUGACUGGGGCGGUCUCCUCCUAAAGAGUAACGGAGGAGCACGAAGGUUGGCUAAUCCUGGUCGGACAUCAGGAGGUUAGUGCAAUGGCAUAAGCCAGCUUGACUGCGAGCGUGACGGCGCGAGCAGGUGCGAAAGCAGGUCAUAGUGAGCCGGUGGUUCUGAAUGGAAGGGCCAUCGCUCAACGGAUAAAAGGUACUCCGGGGAUAACAGGCUGAUACCGCCCAAGAGUUCAUAUCGACGGCGGUGUUUGGCACCUCGAUGUCGGCUCAUCACAUCCUGGGGCUGAAGUAGGUCCCAAGGGUAUGGCUGUUCGCCAUUUAAAGUGGUACGCGAGCUGGGUUUAGAACGUCGUGAGACAGUUCGGUCCCUAUCUGCCGUGGGCGCUGGAGAACUGAGGGGGGCUGCUCCUAGUACGAGAGGACCGGAGUGGACGCAUCACUGGUGUUCGGGUUGUCAUGCCAAUGGCACUGCCCGGUAGCUAAAUGCGGAAGAGAUAAGUGCUGAAAGCAUCUAAGCACGAAACUUGCCCCGAGAUGAGUUCUCCCUGACUCCUUGAGAGUCCUGAAGGAACGUUGAAGACGACGACGUUGAUAGGCCGGGUGUGUAAGCGCAGCGAUGCGUUGAGCUAACCGGUACUAAUGAACCGUGAGGCUUAACCUU
RNAcentral lists this ribosomal RNA (2903 nucleotides) under Escherichia coli UMEA 3144-1. Its description in RNAcentral is "bacterial LSU rRNA". It matches the Rfam family "Bacterial large subunit ribosomal RNA". The record is from RNAcentral. Lineage: Bacteria; Pseudomonadati; Pseudomonadota; Gammaproteobacteria; Enterobacterales; Enterobacteriaceae.